Nematostella vectensis (starlet sea anemone) is the source of this 1886-nucleotide long non-coding RNA. RefSeq lists it as uncharacterized. The record is from RefSeq and is a predicted model, not a curated record. The transcript is spliced from 3 exons. NCBI's taxonomy places the organism in Eukaryota, Metazoa, Cnidaria, Anthozoa, Actiniaria, Edwardsiidae.
AGACCAUGCUUGUUUCGCUCGCACGCACGCGGAAAAAACUCUUCAAAGAAAAAUAUCUGACGAUGUCGAAUGCCGAAGCCAUUUUCACAGAUUUUUCCGGUUCUAUUGCCGUUGAGUUUUUGAAAGGUAUACCGUGACACGGAAGCCAUUUCGCAGUCGAGACGGCCGUUAGACUGCUAACCAAUGAAAGAGCUAGCCUCGUCCCUUCGCCUCUCGGCGGGCCUAUCACUCUCUACUUGGCUACGUCCGCCAUAUUGGAAAGUGUGAGUGCGCGCAAAGUAUCAUGGAGCUGAGCUGACAGCAAGGGAGUAGCCUGGAGACGAGGCUAUGAAAGAGCGCCAGAGAAAGCACCCUCACCGGUCGACGAAAAAGUAGACAAGAGAUUCAAAUGCACACGCACUAAAAAUAAUCAACAACGCAAAGCUAAAAAACAACAACUCUAAUUUUAUUCGAACCGUAGAGGUGAGCCCCCUGUGAUUCGCAGAUUGUAUUCAAGGGUUAUUUUUGUUGUCAACAAGUCACAAGUUCCUUUGUGGUAUCUGCUGACCUCGUGACUGUAACACUCCUCCAUGAACACAAAACAAAAUAGCGGAUCCUACGGAAUUUAUGAACUGCGUUUCAGAUAUUUAGGACAUGCUAUCAGCCUGUUAGGUCUUUUUUAACGGGGGGGCAGGGCUGCUAUGUUUGGAAGGAGGGUUGCAAUUUUUUGAUUAGGGAGAUGGCCUCAAAAUUUGAUACAGGGUUUAGGGGAGGGCCUUAUUUUUAUAACAGGUAUUCUGAUUUCCGAGCCUCCUAAAAAUCUGGAAUUUCAAAUUUUUUUCUGCGGACAACCCCAGACCCCUAACCAUUUUUGUGCUUUAGAUUGGGGUAGGGUCGAAGAACCAGGAAAUAAUAAACUUAGCAGCCCCCCUCCACCAAAAAAAAAUAAUUACCCUUCCCUUAGGUAACGGAUAACUGCACCGAUGAUCAAGUUAUGGAAAAAGUAAUCUAUCCUUUGAAAGUGCAGUACGUUUAUUGAACACAUUUUGCCUGCAGUAAGUUAAAUGAACCGGUUUGGAUUACCCUGGGUAUCAAGAUGCUCCGGGCUUCACUAGAUCAAGUUGGAUAACAAGACUAAACUUAAUCAAAUGGGAUAACAAGACUAAACUAAAUCAAGUGGGAUAACAAGACUAAACUAAAUCAAGUGGGAUAACAAGACUAAACUAAAUCAAGUGGGAUAACAAGACUAAACUAAAUCAAGUGGGAUAACAAGACUAAACUAAAUCAAGUGGGAUAACAAGACUAAACUAAAUCAAGUGGGAUAACAAGACUAACUAAAUCAAUUGGGAUAAUAAGAUCAGUGAUGGGAAUAAUACUUGAAAGCGUGCGGAUAGGGUAUAAAUGAAAGGGAAUGAGGAGGUAGAGAGGUGGUUGUGUGGGAAUUGGUAAGAGUUCCAGUGUGAAAAGAGAGAUGUAAUGGGGCUAUUAGAUUACAUGGGGGUGGUUGAGAUUAUGGUUUAUGAAAUGGCGAGUGAAGGUUAAUACGAGUAAUGGGGUUGACAAUAAAACAGUAUGAGAGAUAAUAAGAGUGUAAAUUAUUUGAAAGGUAAGGAUAUUUUUAUAUGACUUGUAGUUCAGUUGAAAUGUGUGUUGCAUGUAGGGUAAAAAUGUAUUAAUUAAGAUUGUAGAGAGAAAAUAGUGAUAAGGUAGAGUGAGUGUGAAGGUAUGUAUAAAAUGAGGUUUCUAAGUGUGGUAUGAUGAUUGACAGGUGAAAAAUGUUUCGAAAAUGCUUAAAAAACAAGUAUACGUUGGAAGGAAACAUCGUGGAAAACGGUAAACGAUGUGUGUAAAAACGGCAAAAAGAAGAUGAAGCUAGGGCGCGGGAGGCGAUAGGGGGAGUGUGGCGC